AAUACUCAAAAAUAAACGUCUCAGUUCGGAUUGUAGUCUGCAACUCGACUACAUGAAGCUGGAAUCGCUAGUAAUCGCGGAUCAGCAUGUCGCGGUGAAUACGUUCCCGGGCCUUGUACACACCGCCCGUCACACCAUGAGAGUUGGCAAUACCCAACGUACGUGAUCUAACCCGCAAGGGAGGAAGCGUCCUAAGGUAGGGUCAGCGAUUGGGGUGAAGUCGUAACAAGGUAAC
Molecule: ribosomal RNA, 235 nt
Filed under: uncultured bacterium
Lineage: Bacteria
Description: partial 16S ribosomal RNA
Rfam family: Bacterial small subunit ribosomal RNA
Source: RNAcentral